This 969-nucleotide non-coding RNA is filed under the name Collocalia linchi (cave swiftlet). RNAcentral's name for it is "12S ribosomal RNA". It matches the Rfam family "Bacterial small subunit ribosomal RNA". Lineage: Eukaryota; Metazoa; Chordata; Aves; Apodiformes; Apodidae. The record is from RNAcentral.
AAAGACUUAGUCCUAACCUUACCGUUAAUUCUUGCUAGACAUAUACAUGCAAGUAUCAGCGCUCCAGUGUAAAUGCCCCGGACGUCUUAUCAAGGCCCAGGGAGCGGGUAUCAGGCGCACUCACAGUCGUAGCCCAAGACGCCUUGUUCAGCCACACCCCCACGGGUAUUCAGCAGUAAUUAACAUUAAGCAAUGAGUGUAAACUUGACUUAGUCAUAGCAAUCCUCAGGGUCGGUCAAUCUUGUGCCAGCCACUGCGGUCAUACAAGAAACCCAAAUUAACCGUAACACGGCGUAAAGCGUGACACCAUGUUAUCCUCACAACUAGGAUCAAAAUGCAACUGAGCUGUCAUAAGCCUAUGCUGCACGCAAAACCAACCUGAAAACGAUCCUAGCCUCAAUGAUCAAUUAACCGUCACGAAAGCUAGAAUACAAACUGGGAUUAGAUACCCCACUAUGCCUAGCCCUAAAUCUUGAUACUUUCCCCACUAAAGUAUUCGCCAGAGAACUACGAGCACAAACGCUUAAAACUCUAAGGACUUGGCGGUGCUCCAAACCCACUAGAGGAGCCUGUUCUAUAAUCGAUUACCCAAGAAUCACACUCGGACGAGUCUUGCCAAGGCAGCUUACAUACGGCGGUCGCCAGUUCACCUCUCCUGAGAGAACAAUAGUGAACACAAUAGCCCCAUCCGCUAUACAGACAGGUCAAGGUAUAGCCCAUGGAGUGGAAGAAAUGGGCUACAUUUUCUAUAAUUGAAAAUCUCGGAAAGAGGUAUAAACCACCUCUGGAAGGUGGAUUUGGCAGUUAAAGCAGUCAAUAGAGCCACCUUUAAGCCGGCCCUGGAGCACGUACAUACCGCCCGUCACCCUCCUCAAAAAGCUAACCUCCCAGCAUACCUAAUACAAUAGCCAGCUAGAGAUGAGGUAAGUCGUAACAAGGUAAGUGUACCGGAAGGUGUACUUAGCAUAC